AGAGUUUGAUCCUGGCUCAGGAUGAACGCUAGCGACAGGCCUAACACAUGCAAGUCGAGGGGUAACAUGAGUGCUUGCACUUGAUGACGACCGGCGCACGGGUGCGUAACGCGUAUGCAACUUACCUUGUACUGGGGAAUAGCCCGUGGAAACGCGGAUUAAUGUCCCAUAACACUACAAUUUCGCAUGGAAAAGUGGUUAAAGUUCCGACGGUACAAGAUGGGCAUGCGUGACAUUAGCUAGUUGGUGAGGUAAGGGCUCACCAAGGCGACGAUGUCUAGGGGUUCUGAGAGGAAGGUCCCCCACACUGGUACUGAGACACGGACCAGACUCCUACGGGAGGCAGCAGUGAGGAAUAUUGGUCAAUGGGCGCAAGCCUGAACCAGCCAUGUCGCGUGCAGGAAGACUGCCCUACGGGUUGUAAACUGCUUUUGUAUGGGAAGAAACGUUGGUACGUGUACCAAUUUGCCGGUACCAUACGAAUAAGGAUCGGCUAACUCCGUGCCAGCAGCCGCGGUAAUACGGAGGAUCCAAGCGUUAUCCGGAUUUAUUGGGUUUAAAGGGUGCGUAGGCGGUAGAAUAAGUCAGUGGUGAAAUCCUGCAGCUUAACUGUAGAACUGCCAUUGAUACUGUUUUACUUGAGUGUAAUUGAGGUAGGCGGAAUGUGUUGUGUAGCGGUGAAAUGCAUAGAUAUAACACAGAACACCGAUUGCGAAGGCAGCUUACUAAGUUAUAACUGACGCUGAUGCACGAAAGCGUGGGUAGCGAACAGGAUUAGAUACCCUGGUAGUCCACGCCGUAAACGAUGAUUACUCGCUGUAGGCAAUACACCGUCUGUGGCUGAGCGAAAGCAUUAAGUAAUCCACCUGGGGAGUACGUUGGCAACAAUGAAACUCAAAGGAAUUGACGGGGGCCCGCACAAGCGGAGGAACAUGUGGUUUAAUUCGAUGAUACGCGAGGAACCUUACCUGGACUUGAAUGUAGAUUGACGUAUCCAGAGAUGGAUAUUUCUUCGGACAAUUUACAAGGUGCUGCAUGGUUGUCGUCAGCUCGUGCCGUGAGGUGUCGGGUUAAGUCCCAUAACGAGCGCAACCCCUGUUGUUAGUUACCAGCACAUCAUGGUGGGGACUCUAACAAGACUGCCGGUGUAAACCGCGAGGAAGGUGGGGAUGACGUCAAAUCAGCACGGCCCUUACGUCCAGGGCUACACACGUGUUGCAAUGGCCGGUACAGAGGGCAGCUACUUGGUGACAAGAUGCGAAUCUCAAAAACCGGUCUCAGUUCGGAUCGAAGUCUGCAACCCGACUUCGUGAAGCUGGAUUCGCUAGUAAUCGCAUAUCAGCCAUGAUGCGGUGAAUACGUUCCCGGGCCUUGUACACACCGCC
RNAcentral lists this ribosomal RNA (1385 nucleotides) under metagenome. Its description in RNAcentral is "bacterial SSU rRNA". It matches the Rfam family "Bacterial small subunit ribosomal RNA". The record is from RNAcentral.